GAUGAACGCUGGCGGCGUGCCUAAUACAUGCAAGUCGAGCGAACGGACGAGAAGCUUGCUUCUCUGAUGUUAGCGGCGGACGGGUGAGUAACACGUGGAUAACCUACCUAUAAGACUGGGAUAACUUCGGGAAACCGGAGCUAAUACCGGAUAAUAUUUUGAACCGCAUGGUUCAAAAGUGAAAGACGGUCUUGCUGUCACUUAUAGAUGGAUCCGCGCUGCAUUAGCUAGUUGGUAAGGUAACGGCUUACCAAGGCAACGAUGCAUAGCCGACCUGAGAGGGUGAUCGGCCACACUGGAACUGAGACACGGUCCAGACUCCUACGGGAGGCAGCAGUAGGGAAUCUUCCGCAAUGGGCGAAAGCCUGACGGAGCAACGCCGCGUGAGUGAUGAAGGUCUUCGGAUCGUAAAACUCUGUUAUUAGGGAAGAACAUAUGUGUAAGUAACUGUGCACAUCUUGACGGUACCUAAUCAGAAAGCCACGGCUAACUACGUGCCAGCAGCCGCGGUAAUACGUAGGUGGCAAGCGUUAUCGGAAAUUAUUGGGCGUAAAGCGCGCGUAGGCGGUUUUUUAGUCUGAUGUGAAAGCCCACGGCUCAACCGUGGAGGGUCAUUGGAAACUGGAAAACUUGAGUGCAGAAGAGGAAAGUGGAAUUCCAUGUGUAGCGGUGAAAUGCGCAGAGAUAUGGAGGAACACCAGUGGCGAAGGCGACUUUCUGGUCUGUAACUGACGCUGAUGUGCGAAAGCGUGGGGAUCGAACAGGAUUAGAUACCCUGGUAGUCCACGCCGUAAACGAUGAGUGCUAAGUGUUAGGGGGUUUCCGCCCCUUAGUGCUGCAGCUAACGCAUUAAGCACUCCGCCUGGGGAGUACGACCGCAAGGUUGAAACUCAAAGGAAUUGACGGGGACCCGCACAAGCGGUGGAGCAUGUGGUUUAAUUCGAAGCAACGCGAAGAACCUUACCAAAUCUUGACAUCCUUUGACAACUCUAGAGAUAGAGCCUUCCCCUUCGGGGGACAAAGUGACAGGUGGUGCAUGGUUGUCGUCAGCUCGUGUCGUGAGAUGUUGGGUUAAGUCCCGCAACGAGCGCAACCCUUAAGCUUAGUUGCCAUCAUUAAGUUGGGCACUCUAAAUUGACUGCCGGUGACAAACCGGAGGAAGGUGGGGAUGACGUCAAAUCAUCAUGCCCCUUAUGAUUUGGGCUACACACGUGCUACAAUGGACAAUACAAAGGGCAGCGAAACCGCGAGGUCAAGCAAAUCCCAUAAAGUUGUUCUCAGUUCGGAUUGUAGUCUGCAACUCGACUACAUGAAGCUGGAAUCGCUAGUAAUCGUAGAUCAGCAUGCUACGGUGAAUACGUUCCCGGGUCU
RNAcentral lists this ribosomal RNA (1371 nucleotides) under uncultured bacterium. Its description in RNAcentral is "16S ribosomal RNA". It matches the Rfam family "Bacterial small subunit ribosomal RNA", at positions 28 to 1381 of the family's 1533-position model. The record is from RNAcentral.